This 1242-nucleotide ribosomal RNA is filed under the name Amphisphaeria uniseptata. RNAcentral describes it as "partial large subunit ribosomal RNA". It matches the Rfam family "Eukaryotic large subunit ribosomal RNA", at positions 81 to 1433 of the family's 3401-position model. Lineage: Eukaryota; Fungi; Ascomycota; Sordariomycetes; Amphisphaeriales; Amphisphaeriaceae. The record is from RNAcentral.
UAGUAACGGCGAGUGAAGCGGCAACAGCUCAAAUUUGAAAUCUGGCCCUCGGGUCCGAAUUGUAAUUUGUAGAGGAUGCUUUUGGUCAGGUGCCUUCCGAGUUCCCUGGAACGGGACGCCUUAGAGGGUGAGAGCCCCGUACGGUUGGACGCCGAGCCUCUGUAAAGCUCCUUCGACGAGUCGAGUAGUUUGGGAAUGCUGCUCUAAAUGGGAGGUAAAUUUCUUCUAAAGCUAAAUAUUGGCCAGAGACCGAUAGCGCACAAGUAGAGUGAUCGAAAGAUGAAAAGUACUUUGAAAAGAGGGUUAAACAGCACGUGAAAUUGUUGAAAGGGAAGCGUUUAUGACCAGACUUUUUCUAGGCGGAUCAUCCGGUGUUCUCACCGGUGCACUUUGUCUAGUUUAGGCCAGCAUCGGUUUUUAUAGGGGGAUAAAAUCGGUGGGAAUGUGGCUCCCUCGGGAGUGUUAUAGCCCGCCGAAUAAUACCCUUACGGGGACCGAGGUUCGCGCUCUGCAAGGAUGCUGGCGUAAUGGUCAUCAACGACCCGUCUUGAAACACGGACCAAGGAGUCGAACAUUUGUGCGAGUGUUUGGGUGUUAAACCCUCACGCGUAAUGAAAGUGAACGGAGGUGAGAGCUCCUAGGGGUGCAUCAUCGACCGAUCCUGAAGUUUACGGAUGGAUUUGAGUAAGAGCAUAACUGUUCGGACCCGAAAGAUGGUGAACUAUGCGUGGAUAGGGUGAAGCCAGAGGAAACUCUGGUGGAGGCUCGCAGCGGUUCUGACGUGCAAAUCGAUCGUCAAAUCUGCGCAUGGGGGCGAAAGACUAAUCGAACCAUUAAACCAGCGGUAAAUUUGAUUUACUAGGUGGUUAAGAGGGGUCUCGAGAGAGACUUACACCUAGGUCUGGGGGGUCACCUACCCUGUAGCUGUCAGUCACCUACCCUGUAGCUGUCAGUCACCUACCCUGUAGCUGUCAGUCACCUACCCUGUAGCUGUCGAAGACCUACCCAGAGCGACACCACUAAAUUGCGGGGACAUCCUUUAAAGCUUCGGGCUACCGCAGGGCACUGAAAAGUGUGGCUGCACCAAGAUUAGCGGUCUUGGGUAUGGUAAUAACGCCUGCUAGCUGGGACUACCUGCAGCCAACCCCGCCAUAGGGGAGAGUUCACAGACUAGACAGUGGUGGGCCAGCCCGUGCUGGCCUAAGAUAUAGUCGACCGGGGCCCUGAAAAGGUGCCCGUAGU